GGAGCUGUCGGUCCCUGCGCCGCCGGAGCGGGGCGGCGGGCGGCUGUGGCCGCAGCGUGGGGACGGGAGGAGGAACGCGGGUCUGGGGAAUGGCGCCUUCGCCUCGGGUAGAGGCCGGAGACGGUUAYAGGGGGCAGUGGCAUCUUCCCCUCAGGCGGAGACCGGGAGAGGGUUCAGGUGGGGAAUAAUGCCUUCCUCUCAGGCAGAGAUCGGAAGAGGGGUACGAGAGGGAAUGGCACCUUUGCCUCAGGAGGAUAUUGCACAUAUCCAUGAAGUAACUAGCUGAUACAGGCCCUGCACAGAUGCUUAGAAAAACGCUAAGGAGGACACAUUUUAGUGGAAGAGGACUAAGAACACCAAGCCUGAACAGCUCCUUACUMCUGAGGUUGGUGCCAUUACACCUCCUGGGCCAAGCUGGAUGAGGUGAUGUGSAAGGACAGAGUCCUGCUCCCAGGUACUGAGAACUCAAGGUUUCCCACAAGGAGAUUAAGAGGAAGGAUGGAUGUCUCUCCAGCUGAGCAGGAGGGUCUGGGCAAUCCURUCUCUUCCCAAAGUGAUGCCUUCCUUCAGCUGCAGCAGCUUUGCCUGAUGGCCUCUGAACAAGCCCAUGGAGAUGAACAAGACCCUGCUGACUGCUGAGCAUCUCCACGUGGAUUUGGAAGGAAAGAUCCAGUGUCCUGGGUCAAGUUAAUGAGAUCUCAUCCUGCCUGAGUGCUGCCAAUGGGAAAAAAAUGGGCUGAAGUACUCCUUGCUAGGAUUUAUUCUGAUGUGCAUUUCAUUGCUGGGAAGGCUGACCUUAAUAAUUCCUGGGUUCAAAACAYAGAGUAAAUUCUAUUUAUGUCAGAAUGUGCCAUUCCUCCCAAGGCUGUGUAUUUUUGCAAUCCAAUUAAAUA
This is a long non-coding RNA of Malurus melanocephalus (red-backed fairy wren), 893 nucleotides long. RefSeq lists it as uncharacterized. The transcript is spliced from 4 exons. Lineage: Eukaryota; Metazoa; Chordata; Aves; Passeriformes; Maluridae. The record is from RefSeq and is a predicted model, not a curated record.